RNAcentral lists this ribosomal RNA (424 nucleotides) under uncultured archaeon. Its description in RNAcentral is "partial 16S ribosomal RNA". It matches the Rfam family "Archaeal small subunit ribosomal RNA", at positions 323 to 746 of the family's 1478-position model. The record is from RNAcentral.
CUACGGGCUGCUGCAGUCGGGAAACUUCUACAAUGCACGCAAGUGUGAUAGAGCAAGCCAAAGUGCGUUUCUAUAAUUGAAACGCUUUUGUAAUAUGUAAAAAGUAUUACGAAUAAGGACUGGGUAAGACUGGUGCCAGCCGCCGCGGUAAUACCAGCGGUCCAAGUGGCAGCCGCGUUUAUUGGGUCUAAAACAUCCGUAGCUCGCUUCGUAAGUCUCUUGUGAAAUCCGGCAUCUUAAGUGUCGGGCGUGCAAGAGAUACUGCGUCGCUAGAGACCGGGAGACGUGAAGAGUACGGUUAGGGUAGCGGUAAAAUGCGUUGAUCCUUACUGGACUAACGAUAGCGAAGGCACUUCACGAGAACGGAUCUGACAGUGAGGGAUGAAGGCUAGGGUCGCAAAACGGAUUAGAUACCCUCGUAGUC